AGCAGCCGCGGUAAUUCCAGCUCCAAUAGCGUAUAUUAAAGUUGUUGCAGUUAAAAAGCUCGUAGUUGAAUUUCGGGGUUCUACCGUCGGUCGGGCUAACAAGUCUGUACUGGUGUGUAGAACUUCUACCUUCUGGGGAGCUAUCAUGUUAUUAAUUUAGCGUGGUAGGAAACCAGGACCUUUACCUUGAAAAAAUUAGAGUGUUCAAAGCAGGCUUAAGUCUGAAUACAUUAGCAUGGAAUAAUAGAAUAGAACGGUGGUCCUGUUUUGUUGGUUUCUGAAUCACCGUAAUGAUUAAUAGGGAUAGUUGGGGGCAUUAGUAUUCAAUUGUCAGAGGUGAAAUUCUUGGAUUUAUUGAAGACUAACUUCUGCGAAAGCAUUUGCCAAGGAUGUUUUCAUUAAUCAAGAACGAAAGUUAGGGGAUCGAAGACGAUCAGAUACCGUCGUAGUCUUAACCAUAAACUAUGCCGACUAGGGAUCGGACGAUGUUAAUUUUUUAAUGACUCG
This 507-nucleotide ribosomal RNA is filed under the name Scutellospora sp. PSAM-Scu-1. RNAcentral describes it as "SSU rRNA". It matches the Rfam family "Eukaryotic small subunit ribosomal RNA", at positions 569 to 1078 of the family's 1831-position model. The record is from RNAcentral. Lineage: Eukaryota; Fungi; Glomeromycota; Glomeromycetes; Diversisporales; Gigasporaceae.